GCUCCUUGUUCAGGAAGACUUGUCAUUUUGCAGAAAAACAUCUGAUGUAGUUUGGACCACAAGAGGCUCACAGAUCACAUUCCGAGAAACAAAAAAUUAUUGAUGUCCAUACCCUUUUGGUAGACUUUUACUUCCUUUGAGUUUCUCUUAAGAGUUACACUGGACAUCUGCACAUCCUGAAGAAAAAUCAAAGGUAAAAGAUCCUCUAUUCUGACUGAUAUUAGCAUUUGCUUUUGCACAUAAAAAAGAGAAAAAUAAAAUCAGACAAAGAAGAACCCUACUUUAUUAA
RNAcentral lists this long non-coding RNA (289 nucleotides) under Cyanistes caeruleus (blue tit). Its description in RNAcentral is "lncRNA (ENSCCEG00000019372.1)". The record is from RNAcentral. Lineage: Eukaryota; Metazoa; Chordata; Aves; Passeriformes; Paridae.